Molecule: long non-coding RNA, 638 nt
Organism: Coregonus clupeaformis (lake whitefish)
Lineage: Eukaryota; Metazoa; Chordata; Actinopteri; Salmoniformes; Salmonidae
Exons: 3
Source: RefSeq, a predicted model, not a curated record
GAACGGGAGGACUCAGGAAGAGGUGGUAGCUCUACUUAGGGCCACACCCAUGGGAGGAACAGUCAGUCUGCUAGUCCCACGCCAAGAGGACUCCCAUCUACCCAGAGAGGUGAAGACAGAAGAAGACGACCUAGUGCUAACUCCAGACGGCUCCAGGGAGUUCCUGACCUUUGAGAUCCCCUUGAGUGACUUGGGGUCGGGAGGUCUGGGGGUCAGCGUCUAGGGAAACCGCUCCAAGGAGAACCACGCUGACCUGGGCAUCUUCGUCAAGUCCAUCAUCAACUGAGGAGCAGCCUCCAAGGAUGGCCGACUGAGAGUCAACAACCAGCUGAUCGCCGUCAACGGCGAGUCGUUGCUAGGCAAGCCCAACUAGGACGCCAUGGAAACGCUGCGGCUGUUCAUGUCAAUGGAGGGCAACAAGCAAGGGAUGAUCCAACUCAUCGUUGCCAGAAGGGUAUCCAAGAGCGACAUGGUAAUGAACAGGACAGAAAGUGAAAAGUUGCACCAGUGUGAUACUAAAGUAAUUCCCUCUGAGUGUGUGUGCUCAGAGGGAAUUACAUACUAGAGAACUAAUUGGUGUUAUAUUGAAUAGGUUUUUUGUGUGUUUUUUUUUGGUACUUUUUACCCCCAAUUGGUAG